RNAcentral lists this ribosomal RNA (465 nucleotides) under uncultured bacterium. Its description in RNAcentral is "partial 16S ribosomal RNA". It matches the Rfam family "Bacterial small subunit ribosomal RNA", at positions 28 to 507 of the family's 1533-position model. The record is from RNAcentral.
GACGAACGCUGGCGGCGUGCUUAACACAUGCAAGUCGAACGGAAAGGCCCUGCUUGCAGGGUACUCGAGUGGCGAACGGGUGAGUAACACGUGGGUGAUCUGCCCUGCACUUCGGGAUACGCCUGGGAAACUGGGUCUAAUACCGGAAAGGAGCCAUUUUUAGUGUGAUGGUUGGAAAGUUUUUUCGGUGUAGGAUGAGCUCGCGGCCUAUCAGCUUGUUGGUGGGGUAAUGGCCUACCAAGGCGGCGACGGGUAGCCGGCCUGAGAGGGUGGACGGCCACAUUGGGACUGAGAUACGGCCCAGACUCCUACGGGAGGCAGCAGUGGGGAAUAUUGCACAAUGGGCGCAAGCCUGAUGCAGCGACGCCGCGUGGGGGAUGACGGCCUUCGGGUUGUAAACUCCUUUCGCUAGGGACGAAGCUUUUUGUGACGGUACCUAGAUAAGAAGCACCGGCUAACUACGUG